CGCCCUACGGGACGCAGCAGUGGGGAAUAUUGCACAAUGGGGGAAACCCUGAUGCAGCGACGCCGCGUGAGUGAAGAAGUAUUUCGGUAUGUAAAGCUCUAUCAGCAGGGAAGAAAAUGACGGUACCUGAGUAAGAAGCCCCGGCUAACUACGUGCCAGCAGCCGCGGUAAUACGUAGGGGGCAAGCGUUAUCCGGAUUUACUGGGUGUAAAGGGAGCGUAGACGGCCAGACAAGUCUGAAGUGAAAAUCCAGCGCU
This 257-nucleotide ribosomal RNA is filed under the name uncultured bacterium. Its description in RNAcentral is "partial 16S ribosomal RNA". It matches the Rfam family "Bacterial small subunit ribosomal RNA", at positions 335 to 609 of the family's 1533-position model. The record is from RNAcentral.